AUACGGAGGGUGCAAGCGUUACUCGGAAUCACUGGGCGUAAAGCGCGCGCAGGCGGCUAUUUAAGUUGGAUGUGAAAGCCUACGGCUCAACCGUAGAACUGCAUCCAAAACUAUUUAGCUAGAGUGUGGGAGAGGAAGAUGGAAUUAGUUGUGUAGGGGUAAAAUCCGUAGAGAUAACUAGGAAUACCAAAAGCGAAGGCAAUCUUCUGGAACACUACUGACGCUGAGGCGCGAAAGCGUGGGAAGCAAACGGGAUUAGAAACCCCUGUAGUCC
This 274-nucleotide ribosomal RNA is filed under the name uncultured bacterium. Its description in RNAcentral is "partial 16S ribosomal RNA". It matches the Rfam family "Bacterial small subunit ribosomal RNA", at positions 523 to 796 of the family's 1533-position model. The record is from RNAcentral.